GGGUCGGUCGGGCAGGUGGUGAGCCCAAGGGUCUGUAAAACCCUCGCCUUCGGCUGUGGCGGUUCGAUUCCGCCCCGGCCCACCA
This 85-nucleotide transfer RNA is filed under the name Chloroflexota bacterium. RNAcentral's name for it is "tRNA-Tyr". It matches the Rfam family "tRNA". Rfam says of the family: Transfer RNA (tRNA) molecules are approximately 80 nucleotides in length. The record is from RNAcentral. Lineage: Bacteria; Bacillati; Chloroflexota. RNAcentral also lists the same sequence under 1 other name.